AGAGAGAGAGAGAACAGAACUAUACGGCAUUAAGCGCUAAUUAGUCGUUCCAAUUCUAAGUUAUAACAAUGAUUACAGGCAUGAUUCCAGACUCAGAAAGAGAGUUGUUGUCGCCACGUCGUCCGGCGGAGGAAGUUGGGAGGCCGUCGUCAGUUUGGGAUGCAAGCGACUGUUGCUUCAUCUGCAUCGGAGCUUCUGGUUGGUUCAUGUCCUGCUGCGGCCUUUUGCCUUUCCUGUAACUAAUUAAAACUGCUAUCAUUCUGCUACUAUAUACACAUAAUCCUUCUCGCAUGCGCACGUUCACCUUUUGUAAAGCUCAAAUUCAACUUUUUAUAUUUCUGUAUGAUCC
RNAcentral lists this long non-coding RNA (349 nucleotides) under Citrus sinensis (sweet orange). Its description in RNAcentral is "long non-coding RNA (CSIN_LNC001319)". The record is from RNAcentral. Lineage: Eukaryota; Viridiplantae; Streptophyta; Magnoliopsida; Sapindales; Rutaceae.